RNAcentral lists this small RNA (89 nucleotides) under Nitritalea halalkaliphila LW7. RNAcentral's name for it is "Flavo-1 RNA". It matches the Rfam family "Flavo-1 RNA". Lineage: Bacteria; Pseudomonadati; Bacteroidota; Cytophagia; Cytophagales; Cyclobacteriaceae. The record is from Rfam by way of RNAcentral.
GAAUAGGCUUAGGGAUAGCAGCGUAAAUCUUUCCCCUUUAGACGUAUUAAAGGCAGGGGAAAAGAUUGCAGCAUAUAGCCCGCCCGUAA